CAAAUGCUCCAUUUUUUUUAGGGUAUCGGAGGCGACUGACAAGAGCAUCUCCAAGUGCUCUGACAUGAGGAACAAAAACCAAUGCUUGAAAGUUGACUUUACAGCGUAGGCGUUGGACAUCCAUAGGCAAGUUGUUGAAAGCCAGACGGUGGGAGAAUGGGGCAAUUGCAGCAAUUCCAUAACUGACCAUUUAAAACAUGUUACACUUCCAGAAAAUUUACUAAGUGAAAUGAAGGUAAAAAGAUCAAAAAGAAUACAACAGGUCUACUUACGCUUGAAAAUAACAACAAACCUAUGCUGAAAUUAAAAUUAUGGUAUUAUCAAGGGGCUCGGAGAUGAAUUCAAUUGAAUAUAAAUAUCACAAGAUUCACAACUUUCACAAUCUUGGGUAAAGCAUUAAAAGUUAUAACUGCUCUUGUCCACUUAAAAACAUGGGGGAUUACUAAUGUCUAAUGGACAUCUGUAUCUUGAAUAAUCCACAUUUUACUAGGAAAACAUGACGUCUCAAAGGACAUAAGACUUCAUAUAUAGUCACUCUAAUAAAGUGGUUUUGUUGCAAGACAUAAAUUCACUUAAAAUAACAAGGUAUACACAAGAACACAAACUCUCUCACUACUUGACGGCUUGAAGAGUGAAUUGUAAAACUCUUGGUUGAAUGGCCCUAAUUUUAGAUACCUCUUCAAGAAAUUAUUCUAUGGGAAAUAACCUUUGAACUUACUCUAGAGUUGGAGCAGUCAAAAGGUGUCAUAUUGUUGGGACUGUUGGGGUUGGAUAUGAUAAUUCUGUCAUUUCCCCUUCCUUCAGAAUAAUCAACAGUCUCUAAAACCCAUAAUUGCUUAUGCUAGCUAAGGCCUAAGAACCAUGAUCUGGUGCAUGUUGGCCAUGCUGCACUCCAUCCUUACUCUUAUGUUGGGGACUACAUGCACACAUAUAUGCAUGUGAGGUCCAGCUCAGAUGGCAAGGAAUUGAAGUAAAAGAUGGAGAGGUUCCAUGUUUGAUUCCAUGUCCCAGGAAAAAGGGGAAGAUUAUCUACAAAAAAUUAAUGGCCACCUAUAAUUAUAUAUAGACUCUUCAUUAGACUUUUAAUCCUGUUACUCCUUGUCAUCCAUCAAGAAAUGCUUUAUGGCAGAAGACUUCUUUAUCUCAGCAUACCAUUUCAGAUGGAAAAGCUUUUGACAAAUAAAAUCAAUAUGCACUGUUGAGGCUAUUAAAGUUCAUCCAAACACUAUAGGACCUUAAUCCAAACAUAAACAUUUGCAAUGUUCUAGUUGAACUAGAAACAAUGUGAGUUGUCCAAAAAAAGAUUGGACAUGUGAGUAGAACCCUCGGUGCAUGGUGAGAUUUCCACAAGGAAGACUCGAGCAUCUUCACAUUAAGGAAUAUGUCUGCUGGUCUAAAGCAUGCCAUCCUCCUCGUUUUCUACAUUAUGUUCUCCAUUUUUUUCUUUUAAUAUGUAAUAAUUUUUUUUUCCUUUUUUUCUGGAUAGUACAUGGAAUCGAACCCUUUGUGGUUCCAUCAAGUCCUAGUGGGGAUUAGUUUGUGAAAACUUCCAAUUCUUCACUCUUACUGGCAUAAGUUUGACAUUUUUACAAGCAAAUCCAGUUGUUUUCCUACUGCAGGAGUAUACAAUACAAGAAAGUUGAGUUAGAAGUAACAAUAAAAAACAAAGAGGAUUCUUUAGAUAAUGAUUCUAUCCUCAUUAAGUGAGAAUUGACUGCACACACAAAUUUCUGGCAAGUAAUAAGUGGUUAAUUUUUUUACCAUUCCACAGUAACAACAUAGCAUUUGGAAUCAAGAUCAACAGAGAAAGCCUGACAUUUUCACAAAAGAUGCAUCUUGCUUGCCACUGAAUGGCAUUCUGGAUGGGAGAUUCAGAAAUACAAAUCUAGUAAAAAUAUGUCCCCACCAAAGAUCCUAAAGGCAAUAAUUACCACUAUAAAUAAUUCAUCUAUCAAGAGAACAUCUUAUGUCUCAGGAUCACAUUCAGGACAUUGAUAUGAGGUCCUAUUAAACAGCUGGAAUGUUUCCACUGACAUAAGAUCCUGCACAAUCAUAUGACCCACCUAGAAUAAAUGUGACCCCAAAAGGUUUUGGACCAUAAGGUUUGUAAGCUCUCACCAAGAUUUUUUCUCAAAAAAUUUCACCACCUGUUAAAUCAAAUAUCCUAAGAUAACUAUUGACUAUGGCCCAACAAAAAUAACUGAUUGUUGCUGCACCACUCAAUUUAAGAUUUAUAUAAAGGCCAAAGUAAUUAGAGUCUAUAUUUACUUCAAAAGAACAGCACAUCCACUUAAUUCUUCCAUCGAUCUUGAAAAAUGAUCAUGCUUAAACUUAAUUCAGAAUAAAAGUUUUUUUUAUCCCAAAUGUCAAAAAACAACUCAACUCUAAAUCUAAAGCAGAAGGCCAAUGUAACUACUGACCUCUCUAGCACAGGCAAGACAUUGUCCAGAUACCAUUUAGCUGAAGCAUGAACAGGUGCUGUUUUAAUUCUGGUAGCUCGAAUAGCUGUAGCAUAAUACUCCCUUGUGCUCCAAGAGAAGUCAUAAGGCAACUCUCUAACUAUAGAAAUAUCAUCCUUCAGGACAUUAAUAAAGUGAUCAACAUCAAAUAUAUCCAUGAAUGAGCU
This 2626-nucleotide long non-coding RNA is filed under the name Vitis vinifera (wine grape). RNAcentral's name for it is "long non-coding RNA (VVIN_LNC007534)". The record is from RNAcentral. Lineage: Eukaryota; Viridiplantae; Streptophyta; Magnoliopsida; Vitales; Vitaceae.